RNAcentral lists this small nuclear RNA (111 nucleotides) under Octodon degus (degu). Lineage: Eukaryota; Metazoa; Chordata; Mammalia; Rodentia; Octodontidae. The record is from RNAcentral.
AUGCUCAUUUUGGCAGCACAUAUACAUACUAAAAUAGGGAUGAUACAGAAAGGAUUAGCAUGGCCCCUGUGCAAGGAUGACAAGCAAACUUGUGAAGUGUUCCAUAUUUUU